This 875-nucleotide ribosomal RNA is filed under the name uncultured archaeon. RNAcentral describes it as "bacterial SSU rRNA". It matches the Rfam family "Archaeal small subunit ribosomal RNA", at positions 21 to 903 of the family's 1478-position model. The record is from RNAcentral.
CCUGACUGCUAUCGGAUUGAUACUAAGCCAUGCGAGUCUUUGCAGUAAUGCAAGGCAUACGGCUCAGUAACACGUAGUCAACUUACCCUAUGGACGAGGAUAAUCUCGGGAAACUGAGCAUAAUACUCGAUAGAUCAUAAUGCCUGGAAUGGUUUAUGGUUGAAAUGAUUCGUCGCCAUAGGAUAGGACCGCGGCCUAUCAGCUUGUUGGUGAGGUAAUGGCCCACCAAGGCGAUUACAGGUACGGGCUCUGAGAGGAGAAGCCCGGAGAUGGGUACUGAGACAAGGACCCAGGCCCUAUGGGGCGCAGCAGGCGAGAAAACUUUGCAAUGUGCGAAAGCACGACAAGGUUAAUCCGAGUGAUUUCUGCUAAAGAAAUCUUUUGCAAGUCAUAAAACCACUAGUGAAUAAGGGGUGGGCAAGUUCUGGUGUCAGCCGCCGCGGUAAAACCAGCACCUCAAGUGGUCAGGAGGAUUAUUGGGCCUAAAGCAUCCGUAGCCGGCUCUGUAAGUUUUCGGUUAAAUCCAUGUGCUCAACGCAUGGGCUGUCGAAAAUACUGCAUAGCUAGGGAGUGGGAGAGGUAGACGGUACUCGGUAGGAAGGGGUAAAAUCCUUUGAUCUAUCGAUGACCACCUGUGGCGAAGGCGGUCUACCAGAACACGUUCGACGGUGAGGGAUGAAAGCUGGGGGAGCAAACCGGAUUAGAUACCCGGGUAGUCCCAGCUGUAAGCGAUGCAGACUCGAUGAUGCAUUGGCAUAUAGCCAGUGCAGUGUCGCAGGGAAGCCGUUAAGUCUGCCGCCUGGGAAGUACGUACGCAAGUAUGAAACUUAAAGGAAUUGGCGGGGGAGCACCACAAGGGGUGAAGCCUGCGGUUC